This 253-nucleotide ribosomal RNA is filed under the name uncultured bacterium. RNAcentral's name for it is "partial 16S ribosomal RNA". It matches the Rfam family "Bacterial small subunit ribosomal RNA", at positions 524 to 776 of the family's 1533-position model. The record is from RNAcentral.
UACGUAGGUGGCAAGCGUUGUCCGGAUUUACUGGGCGUAAAGAGCGCGCAGGCGGUCGUUCAAGUCGCGUGUGAAAGCCCCCGGCUCAACUGGGGAGGGUCACGCGAUACUGAUCGACUCGAAGGCAGGAGAGGGUAGUGGAAUUCCCGGUGUAGUGGUGAAAUGCGUAGAUAUCGGGAGGAACACCAGUGGCGAAAGCGGCUCUCUGGGACGGUACUGACGCUGAGACGCGAAAGCGUGGGGAGCGAACAGG